Molecule: ribosomal RNA, 378 nt
Filed under: Cutibacterium acnes
Lineage: Bacteria; Bacillati; Actinomycetota; Actinomycetes; Propionibacteriales; Propionibacteriaceae
Description: bacterial SSU rRNA
Rfam family: Bacterial small subunit ribosomal RNA
Source: RNAcentral
UUUUCAUUGGAGAGUUUGAUCCUGGCUCAGGACGAACGCUGGCGGCGUGCUUAACACAUGCAAGUCGAACGGAAAGGCCCUGCUUUUGUGGGGUGCUCGAGUGGCGAACGGGUGAGUAACACGUGAGUAACCUGCCCUUGACUUUGGGAUAACUUCAGGAAACUGGGGCUAAUACCGGAUAGGAGCUCCUGCUGCAUGGUGGGGGUUGGAAAGUUUCGGCGGUUGGGGAUGGACUCGCGGCUUAUCAGCUUGUUGGUGGGGUAGUGGCUUACCAAGGCUUUGACGGGUAGCCGGCCUGAGAGGGUGACCGGCCACAUUGGGACUGAGAUACGGCCCAGACUCCUACGGGAGGCAGCAGUGGGGAAUAUUGCACAAUGG